AAUAUUUGAAGUAAUAGAAAUGUUGAGGGAAGAUGGCGGACGAGGAGAAGCUGCCGCCGGGCUGGGAGAAGCGCAUGAGCCGCAGCUCAGGCCGAGUAUACUACUUCAACCACAUCACUAACGCCAGCCAGUGGGAGCGGCCCAGGGGCAACAGCAGCAGUGGUGGCAAAAACGGGCUGAGGGAGCCCGCUAGGAUCCACUGCUCACACCUGCUGGUGAAGCACAGCCAGUCAAGGCGGCCCUCGUCCUGGCGGCAGGAGAUCACCUGGACCAAGGAGGAGGCCCUGGAGCUGAUCAACGGCUACAUCCAGAAGAUCAAGUCGGGAGAGGAGGACUUUGAGUCUCUGGCCUCACAGUUCAGCGACUGCAGCUCAGCCAAGGCCAGGGGAGACCUGGGUGCCUUCAGCAGAGAUCAGAUGCAGAAGCCAUUUGAAGACGCCUCGUUUGCGCUGCGGACAGGGGAGAUGAGAGGGCCUGUGUUCACGGAUUCCGGCAUCCAUAUCAUCCUCGGCACUGAGUGA
Rhinopithecus roxellana (golden snub-nosed monkey) is the source of this 521-nucleotide RNA transcript. It is a transcript of the gene named peptidyl-prolyl cis-trans isomerase NIMA-interacting 1 pseudogene, with no coding region annotated. The transcript has a single exon. NCBI's taxonomy places the organism in Eukaryota, Metazoa, Chordata, Mammalia, Primates, Cercopithecidae. The record is from RefSeq and is a predicted model, not a curated record.